RNAcentral lists this long non-coding RNA (910 nucleotides) under Patiria miniata (bat star). RNAcentral describes it as "uncharacterized LOC119733642". The record is from RNAcentral. Lineage: Eukaryota; Metazoa; Echinodermata; Asteroidea; Valvatida; Asterinidae.
GGAUCAGAAUCAGCUUUUUCAAACAAUCCCUGGCUGACUGGUGACCAUUCCUGCAAUGAUCUGGAUGAUUGACUGAUAGAUGCGUCCAACAUCAAGAAGACAACCUGUAGAGGGCCAGCUGUCAUGCUGGUUAUUGCAUGCUGUUCAGCUUGUGUUAAUGCUACUAAAUUUAAGGUAUCCAAACAGUGAGUGAAUGUCAGUGACAACCUUCAACACGAGGAUGCCAACCAAGGAUAGACGGGUCCUACAGUGUUCAGUCAGUUCAAACCAAACUCUCUACUGCAAAAUAGACCUCACAAAUUUUGUUUCAUUUUUUUUUAAAUUAAGCAGAAAAUACUUAAAGAAAUUCUAUUUAUUGACUGAAAACCAAUUUUUUGUUUAAUCCUGACAAUAUCUUUGAUUAUAUGGAUUAGGUGACACAAGUGUUAGCUUUUGCAUACUUGACAUUUUUAAAAUGUACUGAAAAUGUACCACAAUCAUUAAAUAAUUGCAGCUACAUGUACAACCUGACAGUUCAUUUUCAAUGAUUACAAUACAUACAUGUAUAUGUACCUGAAUGCUGUAUCCUGUGCAAGUUGGUUAAAAUAAUCAGCUAUAUAAUAGACUUGUGAAACAAACUGUUCACACCAUCAAUUUAUUAAUGAAAAAACAUCUGUGUGCUGUUAAAUUGUACUUGUAACAUUUGGUGCUCAUAUGUCUCUAAAAAAAUGAAAGAAUUGUUUGUACUAAGACUAGUAAGAGAGUCAACUGCAUUCAUUUUAAAAAAAGUUAACAAAUGUUUAAGGAUAUUCGGAAUUUAUUAAAGAAAAAUGUGUAUUGAAGAUAAAGCACUCUAAAAGCAUUCUUUCUUAUGUCUAAGUUUCCCUUCGUUGAAUUUUAGGUGUUUCAUUUUAAGUGCACCAUUUCAGGA